ACCCAAAUUGUGACAAUUUUCACAUGUUUUCGUUGAAUGCAUUCUGAAAGUUUAACUUUCAGUUUUUCUUUUAACCUUUCUAACAAGGAGGCAUCGUAAGUUCAAUAUUAUAAUCGAUUUUACAAUUGAUCGCUCACGUGCUCUUAUUCGAACACGCUGUGACGUCAUCACCUCAUGGUUCCGGAUUGCAGCAGGUGCGAGGACCCAAAUUGUGACACUUUCGGUCGUGGUAAAAUAAGGCGUCUUAUCCACACAAAAUGCGGAAAUUGGAAGCGGAUUAGAUUUUGAUCAGGACAAUGUCCACAGCGCCAGGCUUCCUUUGCCAGAUCCCACUCUCUGUAAACAUAGGAAGGCAGACAGGACUUGUGAUAUGACUUCCCACACUUGCAGUUAAUCCAGAACAAAUCAAUGCCAUCACGAAUUUCGAUCGCAGUGCAUGACAGCAUGCAGACUUGGCAAAGUACUUCAUGGGUGGUACAUGACAUAUCUUCUGAAUGUAGAAUGCCAUCAUUUUGGCACAGAUGACAAUGCCAUGUACCACCAGUGAGUAGACUCAAGUCAACAUCUGCAUGCUGGUCAUGAGUCAGACACUCUCGGUGAUACCACCUGCUACACCUUGCAUUAUCACAGCCAACCCAGAAAAUCCCACUCUCUUCAUCACUGGUAUGACCUUGGAUAUUGCAUAUAGGACAGGUGAAUUCUGGGGACAUGCAACUUUGGUAAUUCUGUUUCAACAUGAUGCUUGCCCUGAAAGUCAAGGAAAGGUUAGAAGUUAGUUUCCUCUUCUCCUCUUUCUCCUUCAGCUGCUCAUAGAUUUGUUCUCCUGGGAUUAAAGACAGAUCAAUUAAGAAAGAACACAGAAAUGGAAAGAACAAGGAAAUAUAAGAAGAUAAAGAACAAGGAAAUAUAACAAGGAAAUAUAAGAAGAUAAAGAACAAGGAAAUAUAAGAAGAUAAAGAACAAGGAAAUAUAAGAGGACAUACAAUAAGUUUCUUGACUGAGACUAGUGUUAUUGGAGGUGGACCAAUGAUCGGGACCAGCACAGCUGCCAAUUCCUGUGGUAUGAUGCCUUGGGUCACCAGAGGAUGGCCCAUGACAAACUGACCACAAGAAUGGCAGAGAGGGUCUUGCCGUAAUGAAAUGUUGUCUCCCCCUGGUCCCAUGUUGUUGAUGGGAUCGAACUCUGGAUCUUUGGGCGCUAGCUGUGACUUAUCGAUGGCAUCUUUAUCGAACGGGAAAAUGCCACAUUUCCUGAAUCCAGCCUUGAUAUUGUGAGGACUGAAGACCUUGUCCACAGCAGCUUGAAGUACCUGAGCUAGUCUUGAUGAAUUAAAAAAGAAGCUUAGACUGACUGCUAAAUCAGACACAGCUUUUUUUAGUGGCCUGAAAAGCGCAACAUCUAGCGGUUAAAGGAGAUGGGUCGUAUGGGGUGGCAAGCAGAAGAACUCUAUCUGGUUGGCUCUAGCCAUAUCAAUAAGUGGAAUCGAAAGGUGACUCUCGUGGUUGUCAAGCACCAGUAAAAUAGGUCUGGACCUAGGCACAUGCUUCAGAAAAAUUUCCUGGAACCAUUUUCGGAACAAGUCCGAGUCCAUGUAGCCAUUUUCUGACGUGCCGAAAAGCCAACUUUGUGGAAUUCCUUCAGGAAAGAAAACAAAAGCAACGAUGAAAUCUGAGAUACAUACCAUCUCUAUACAUUCCACUUGGGAAGGACUUUUCAUAAAUUACCAUGGUGGGUAAGACACGUCCAUCUGCAGAGACACAUACAUUUGCUGUCGUGUGGUUUGAGGUGACAACUACUCGAGAUUGUGCCUGUCUCCUGUCAGCUACACAGACCUUGUCUAGGGACAUACCCUUCCCAAAGCCUGUCUCGUCCACAUUGAAUAUGCACUCUGGCUUAUUUCCGAGACCUUGAAAUGGAUUGAUUGACAAAAAUUAAUAUAACAGCUUAAAGUGCUGUGCCAUGACUGUCUCAUUUGACAUUCUUGUCCUUCCACCAUCGACAAGUUGGGGACUCUUCAUCGAUAGUCUUGGAUGCCGUGAUAGAAAAGACCUAAACCAUUUAUUGGACGGACCGUUUCCUGAUCCUGACAGUUGUCUGCCGCUUUUGGAUACAAUACCUCUGACAAAUGAUUUUAUUACUUUCCGUGUUAAAGGCAUAGCUCUGGCCUGACAGUAUACUAUAUAUGCCACUAAUUGCUCCUCCUCUACUUUGCUUAACACCCGGACUGGAUGGCCUUUCAAUAAUCCUUUUUGAUGACGGGAUAUGGUCAUGCGAUUUAUUUUAUGUAGCUUCUCAAGACUUCUAAUUGACUUCCCAGGCUUUGCAUCUUUAAUAGCUUGUUUCAGUUGAUCCGGUGUGUAUUUCUUAUAUUUUCCUGUUGAACAACAUGUGUUUGCUAAUAAUUAUUCAAAUAAAAUUUUAACUGUA
Long non-coding RNA from Pecten maximus, 2428 nucleotides. RefSeq lists it as uncharacterized. The record is from RefSeq and is a predicted model, not a curated record. The transcript has 8 exons. NCBI's taxonomy places the organism in Eukaryota, Metazoa, Mollusca, Bivalvia, Pectinida, Pectinidae.